This 443-nucleotide ribosomal RNA is filed under the name uncultured prokaryote. RNAcentral's name for it is "bacterial SSU rRNA". It matches the Rfam family "Bacterial small subunit ribosomal RNA", at positions 355 to 796 of the family's 1533-position model. The record is from RNAcentral.
UAGGGAAUAUUGGUCAAUGGACGGAAGUCUGAACCAGCCAUGCCGCGUGCAGGAAGACGGCCUUCUGGGUUGUAAACUGCUUUUCUCAGGGAAGAAAAGGGCCUUGCGAGGCAAAUUGCCGGUACCUGAGGAAUAAGCACCGGCUAACUCCGUGCCAGCAGCCGCGGUAAUACGGAGGGUGCGAGCGUUGUCCGGAUUUAUUGGGUUUAAAGGGUGCGUAGGCGGCCUAUUAAGUCAGUGGUGAAAGGUAUCAGCUUAACUGAUGACGUGCCAUUGAAACUGAUAGGCUUGAGUACAGACGAGGUAGGCGGAAUUUAUGGUGUAGCGGUGAAAUGCAUAGAUACCAUAAAGAACACCGAUAGCGAAGGCAGCUUACUAGACUGAGACUGACGCUGAGGCACGAAAGCGUGGGGAGCGAACAGGAUUAGAUACCCCCGUAGUCC